UGGGGAAUUUUGGACAAUGGGCGAAAGCCUGAUCCAGCCAUGCCGCGUGAGUGAAGAAGGCCUUCGGGUUGUAAAGCUCUUUUAGCCGGAAAGAAAAGAUCAUAAUGAACAAUUAUGAUUCAUGACGGUACCGACAGAAAAAGCACCGGCUAACUACGUGCCAGCAGCCGCGGUAAUACGUAGGGUGCGAGCGUUAAUCGGAAUUACUGGGCGUAAAGGGUGCGCAGGCGGUCUUGCAAGUCAGAUGUGAAAGCCCCGGGCUUAACCUGGGAAUUGCGUUUGAAACUACAAGACUAGAGUGCAGCAGAGGGGAGUGGAAUUCCAUGUGUAGCAGUGAAAUGCGUAGAGAUGUGGAAGAACACCGAUGGCGAAGGCAGCUCCCUGGGUUGACACUGGCGCUCAUGCACGAAAGCGUGGGGAGCAAACA
Molecule: ribosomal RNA, 427 nt
Filed under: uncultured beta proteobacterium
Lineage: Bacteria; Pseudomonadati; Pseudomonadota; Betaproteobacteria
Description: bacterial SSU rRNA
Rfam family: Bacterial small subunit ribosomal RNA
Source: RNAcentral